This 1032-nucleotide long non-coding RNA is filed under the name Homo sapiens (human). Its description in RNAcentral is "HSALNT0259763". The record is from RNAcentral. Lineage: Eukaryota; Metazoa; Chordata; Mammalia; Primates; Hominidae.
GGCCUCCCAAAGUUCUGAGACUACAGCAUGUGCUGGCCAGUCUUUGGUUGGUUGGUUGGUACGGUAGGGGGUGGAGAGACUUGUUUUCAGUAAUUUGAAGGAAGCCAAGAGAGGGGUGUCUGUGUCUAACAGCCUGAUGGUUUUACUUCCGAAGCAGAAAAGUGUUCCAGUGUUAGAGACUGAUUUAAAAAAAAAAAAAAAAAAAAAAGCCCCUGAUGGGGAGCGGUGGCUCACGCCGGUAAUUCCAACACUUUGGGAGAGCAAGCCGGUGGAUCACCUGAGGUCAGGAGUUCACGAUCAGCCUGGCCAACAUGGUAAAACCCUGCCUGUAAUUGCAGCACUUCUGGAGACCAAACCAAGAGGACUGCUUGAGCCCAGGGGGACUGCUUGAGCCCAGGGGUUCAAGACCAGACUGGACAACAUACCAGGAACCCCUCUCUACAAAAAACUUGAAACUUAGCUAGGUAUGCUGGUAUGCACCCACAGUUCCAGCUACUCAGGAGGCUGAGGCAGGAGGAUCACUUGAGCCCAGAAGACUGAGGCUGCCAUGAGCUAUGAUCACACCACUGCACUCUAGACUGGGUGACAGAACAAGAGCAAGACUAUGUCUCUUGAACAAAAACGAAAAGCCUGGUGGCCUGGAUGUGUGCCAUGAACAAAAAAGAAACCUGUGAUUGUGGGUCUCGCUGUGUUGCCCAGCUGCUCUCCAACUCCCAGCCUCAAGCAAUCCUCCUGCUUCAGCACUGAUCUCACUCAGUGGUUCAGUGGGAUUACAGCCGUGAGCCACUGCACCCAGCCAUAAAUUCUUUUAUAUUUAAAGCAGUUUGAGUCGUUUCCGACCCCUACAACAUAAAGAGUCCUGUCUACUAUUCUCCUCAGGAGACAAAAUCUCUUCCCCUCAGCCCCAACAUCAAAUACAAAGCAUUCAGCCUCGUUAGUCAAAACUGAUCACAAUAAUAGCCUUUAUAGGUGUUUCUAGAGAGAUGGGGUGAGAAAAAAUAGGAUAUAAAUAACCAUUAUUUACAACUUGCA